UACGAAGGGGGCUAGCGUUGCUCGGAAUCACUGGGCGUAAAGGGUGCGUAGGCGGGUCUUUAAGUCAGGGGUGAAAUCCUGGAGCUCAACUCCAGAACUGCCUUUGAUACUGAGGAUCUUGAGUCCGGGAGAGGUGAGUGGAACUGCGAGUGUAGAGGUGAAAUUCGUAGAUAUUCGCAAGAACACCAGUGGCGAAGGCGGCUCACUGGCCCGGUACUGACGCUGAGGCACGAAAGCUAGGGUAGCAAACGGG
RNAcentral lists this ribosomal RNA (253 nucleotides) under uncultured bacterium. RNAcentral describes it as "partial 16S ribosomal RNA". It matches the Rfam family "Bacterial small subunit ribosomal RNA", at positions 524 to 776 of the family's 1533-position model. The record is from RNAcentral.